Molecule: ribosomal RNA, 857 nt
Filed under: Vibrio sp.
Lineage: Bacteria; Pseudomonadati; Pseudomonadota; Gammaproteobacteria; Vibrionales; Vibrionaceae
Description: bacterial SSU rRNA
Rfam family: Bacterial small subunit ribosomal RNA
Source: RNAcentral
UCGAGCGGAACGAGUUAUCUGAACCUUCGGGGAACGAUAACGGCGUCGAGCGGCGGACGGGUGAGUAAUGCCUAGGAAAUUGCCCUGAUGUGGGGGAUAACCAUUGGAAACGAUGGCUAAUACCGCAUGAUGCCUACGGGCCAAAGAGGGGGACCUUCGGGCCUCUCGCGUCAGGAUAUGCCUAGGUGGGAUUAGCUAGUUGGUGAGGUAAGGGCUCACCAAGGCGACGAUCCCUAGCUGGUCUGAGAGGAUGAUCAGCCACACUGGAACUGAGACACGGUCCAGACUCCUACGGGAGGCAGCAGUGGGGAAUAUUGCACAAUGGGCGCAAGCCUGAUGCAGCCAUGCCGCGUGUGUGAAGAAGGCCUUCGGGUUGUAAAGCACUUUCAGUCGUGAGGAAGGUAGUGUAGUUAAUAGCUGCAUUAUUUGACGUUAGCGACAGAAGAAGCACCGGCUAACUCCGUGCCAGCAGCCGCGGUAAUACGGAGGGUGCGAGCGUUAAUCGGAAUUACUGGGCGUAAAGCGCAUGCAGGUGGUUUGUUAAGUCAGAUGUGAAAGCCCGGGGCUCAACCUCGGAAUUGCAUUUGAAACUGGCAGACUAGAGUACUGUAGAGGGGGGUAGAAUUUCAGGUGUAGCGGGUGAAAUGCGUAGAGAUCUGAAGGAAUACCGGUGGCGAAGGCGGCCCCCUGGACAGAUACUGACACUCAGAUGCGAAAGCGUGGGGAGCAAACAGGAUUAGAUACCCUGCAGUCCACGCCCGUAACGAUGUCUACUUGGAGGUUGUGGUCUUGAGCCGGUGCUUUCGGGAGCCUAACGCCGUUAAGUAGACCCGCCCUGGGGGGAGUUACCGGUUCGG